GCCGGACGCGGUGGCGCGCGCCUGUAGUCCCAGCUACCCGGGAGGCUGAGGCAGGAGGAUCGCUUGAGUCCAGGAGUUCUGGGCUGUAGUGCGCUAUGCCGAUCGGGUGUCCGCACUAAGUUCGGCAUCAAUAUGGUGACCUCCCGGGAGCGGGGGACCACCAGGUUGCCUAAGGAGGGGUGAACCGGCCCAGGUUGGAAACGGAGCAGGUCAAAACUCCCGUGCUGAUCAGUAGUGGGAUCGCGCCUGUGAAUAGCCACUGCACUCCAGCCUGGGCAACAUAGCGAGACCCCGUCUCU
This 299-nucleotide signal recognition particle RNA is filed under the name Microcebus murinus (gray mouse lemur). RNAcentral's name for it is "Metazoan signal recognition particle RNA (ENSMICG00000042343.1)". It matches the Rfam family "Metazoan signal recognition particle RNA". From Rfam's summary of the family: The signal recognition particle (SRP) is a universally conserved ribonucleoprotein. It is involved in the co-translational targeting of proteins to membranes. Lineage: Eukaryota; Metazoa; Chordata; Mammalia; Primates; Cheirogaleidae. The record is from RNAcentral.